AGUCAAAUGCCUUAACCACUGAGCUACUGAGUGACAACAUUGACUUAAUAACCCAGUGACACCUGGGUAUUGGCAGCACAAACUUCCCUGGAAGUGCACAUGCCCAUGAAGUUUGUGGACACGGAUUGGUGAAGUGCUUUCUUGGCUGAAUCUUUACUUCUGAGAGACUCUACCACUCUAAGACUUUUGUUGCCCCAUCCCAACUUAUUUGAGCUGUGCUGCAGCCAUCAAAUUCAAAAGUUCCCUU
Long non-coding RNA from Silurus meridionalis, 247 nucleotides. RefSeq lists it as uncharacterized. The transcript has 3 exons. The record is from RefSeq and is a predicted model, not a curated record. NCBI's taxonomy places the organism in Eukaryota, Metazoa, Chordata, Actinopteri, Siluriformes, Siluridae.